This 253-nucleotide ribosomal RNA is filed under the name Caulifigura sp. Its description in RNAcentral is "partial 16S ribosomal RNA". It matches the Rfam family "Bacterial small subunit ribosomal RNA", at positions 524 to 776 of the family's 1533-position model. The record is from RNAcentral. Lineage: Bacteria; Pseudomonadati; Planctomycetota; Planctomycetia; Planctomycetales; Planctomycetaceae. RNAcentral also lists the same sequence under 2 other names.
GACGAACUGUGCGAACGUUAUUCGGAAUCACUGGGCUUACAGGGUGCGUAGGCGGCCACGUAAGUAGGGUGUGAAAUCCCCCGGCCCAACCGGGGAACUGCGCUCUAAACUACAUGGCUUGAGUGAGCUAGGGGUCCACGGAACUUCCAGUGGAGCGGUGAAAUGUGUUGAUAUUGGAAGGAACACCGGAGCCGAAAGGGGUGGACUGGGGCUCAACUGACGCUGAGGCACGAAAGCCAGGGUAGCGAACGGG